RNAcentral lists this ribosomal RNA (227 nucleotides) under uncultured bacterium. Its description in RNAcentral is "partial 16S ribosomal RNA". It matches the Rfam family "Bacterial small subunit ribosomal RNA", at positions 104 to 334 of the family's 1533-position model. The record is from RNAcentral.
CGGGGUGAGUAACGCGUGAGAAUCUUCCCUUCAAUGAAGAAUACCUUUGAGAAAUCGAAGUUAAUACUGCAUACGUCUCGAAAGAGAGAAAGAUGGCCUAAUUGCUGUCGUUGAAGGAUGAGCUUGCGUUCUAUUAGCUAGUUGGUGAGGUAAUGGCUCACCAAGGCGAUGAUGGAUAGCCGGCCUGAGAGGGCGAACGGCCACAUUGGAACUUAGAUACGGUCCAA